This is a long non-coding RNA of Pieris brassicae (large cabbage white), 320 nucleotides long. RefSeq lists it as uncharacterized. The transcript is spliced from 4 exons. The record is from RefSeq and is a predicted model, not a curated record. Lineage: Eukaryota; Metazoa; Arthropoda; Insecta; Lepidoptera; Pieridae.
UUCAUAUUAAGUGAUAGUUCAUUCAAGCCUUCACCAUGAAUGGAAAGAUUGUUUUCUUCGCACUCUUAGUAUUGACCUCCUGCCUUAUUGCCACCGCCUUGGCUGAACCCAACCCUUAUCCGGGCCAUGACUUCUUAAGUGUUAACCCUUCAAACGCAGCUAGUAACACUGAUAACCAAAGAACUCAAGGCCAGCAAAGACAGAAGAAACAAGGAAUCCUAUAGUAAAUCUCGAAGAGGACACACAAUGAACCAAACAUGUGUUAACAUCAAUCUCGAGAACCUUCAAUAAAAUAAACAAUAAAUUGUACAUAAAAAAUA